UCAUAUGCUUGUCUCAAAGAUUAAGCCAUGCAUGUCUAAGUUCAUGCCGUAUUAAGGCGAAACCGCGAAUGGCUCAUUAAAUCAGUUAUGGUUCCUUGGAUCGUACUUUACUACUUGGAUAACUGUGGCAAUUCUAGAGCUAAUACAUGCAGCAGAGCUCCGACGCCCCUCGGGGCGGACGAGCGCUUUUAUUAGACCAAAACCGAUCGGGGGCAACUCCGUUUCGCGUGGUGACUCUGAAUAACUUUGGGCCGAUCGCACGGGCUUCGUCCCGGCGACGUAUCCUUCAAGUGUCUGCCUUAUCAACUGUCGACGGUAGUUUAAUCGCCUACCGUGGUUUUUACGGGUAACGGGGGAUCAGGGUUCGAUUCCGGAGAGGGAGCCUGAGAAACGGCUACCACAUCCAAGGAAGGCAGCAGGCGCGCAAAUUACCCACUCCCGGCACGGGGAGGUAGUGACGAAAAAUAACGAUACGGGACUCUUUCGAGACCCCGUAAUCGGAAUGAGUACGCUCUAAAUCCGCUAACGACGAACCAUUGGAGGUAAAGUCUGGUGCCAGCAUCCGCGGUAACUCCAGCUCCAAUAGCGUAUAUUAAAGUUGUUGCGGUUAAAAAGCUCGUAGUUGGAUCUGAGUCUCUGCCCGGCGGUCUGCCCCUUCCCGGGGCAGCCUACUGCCGCGACUGCGGGACGUCUGCCGGCUUCCGCCGAUGAUCUUCACCGGUUGUCGGUGGCAGGCCGGCGAGUUUACUUUGAAAAAAUUAGAGUGCUCAAAGCAGGCGCGACGCCUGAAUAAUGGUGCAUGGAAUAAUGGAAUAGGACCUCGGUUCUAUUUUGUUGGUUUUUAGGAACACGAGGUAAUGAUUAAGAGGAACGGACGGGGGCAUUCGUAUUGCGACGCUAGAGGUGAAAUUCUUGGACCGCCGCACGACGAACUACUGCGAAAGCAUUUGCCAAGAAUGUUUCCAUUAAUCAAGAACGAAAGUCAGAGGAUCGAAGGCGAUCAGAUACCGCCCUAGUUCUGACCGUAAACGAUGCCAGCCAGCGAUCCGGCUGCGUUCCUUAACAUGACGCGCCGKGCAGCUUCCCUGAAAAGAGAGCUUUUGGGUUCCGGGGGGAGUAUGGUUGCAAAGCUGAAAYUUAAAGGAAUUGACGGAAGCGCACACAAGAAAUGGGGCCUGCGGCUUAAUUUGACUCAACACGGUGCAACUCUCCCGGCCCGGACACAGGAAGGAUUGACAGAUUGAGAGCUCUUUCUUGAUUCUGUGACAGGUGGUGCAUGGCCGUUUCUAGUUGGUGGAGUGAUUUGUCUGCUUUAUUGCGAUAACGAGCGAGACUCUAGCCUGCUAACUACGGCGCCCCUCACUCUAUAUGCGAGGGGUCGUCUUCUUAGAGGGACAAGCGGUGUUCAGCCGCACGAAACGGAGCAAUAACAGGUCUGUGAUGCCCUUAGAUGUUCGGGGCCGCACGCGCGCCACAUUGAAGGAGACGACGUGUUUUCUCCUGCGCCGAGAGGCGCGGGUAAUCCGUUGAAACUCCUUCGUGCUGGGGAUUGGGACUUGCAAUUGUUUCCCAUGAACGAGGAAUUCCUAGUAAGCAUCGAGUCAUCAGCUCGUGUUGAUUACGUCCCUGCGCUUUGUGCACACCGCCCGUCGCUAUUAUCGAUGAAUUUUGGAGUGAGAUCAUCGGACUGGUCUCCUUUUUGGCUCUUUACGUGUCGAUGGGGAGUGCUGGAAAGAUGACCGAACUUGAAUAUUUAGAGAAAAUAAAAGUCGUAACAAGGCUUCCGUAGG
Molecule: ribosomal RNA, 1790 nt
Filed under: Pachygnatha degeeri
Lineage: Eukaryota; Metazoa; Arthropoda; Arachnida; Araneae; Tetragnathidae
Description: SSU rRNA
Rfam family: Eukaryotic small subunit ribosomal RNA
Source: RNAcentral